Sesamum indicum (sesame) is the source of this 1286-nucleotide non-coding RNA. NCBI's taxonomy places the organism in Eukaryota, Viridiplantae, Streptophyta, Magnoliopsida, Lamiales, Pedaliaceae. The record is from RefSeq and is a predicted model, not a curated record.
AGAUUUCUUUUUCUCUCUCUGUGAUCUUACACAGCACCCAACGACAGCCCCCCCACCCCCCCCAUAUAUAUAAAGUGGGUGUUCAUGUUCGGUAUUGUAGAUGUGUUUUUUCUUGGCUUCGAAGCGCCUUUCUCAGAUAGGAGAGGAAAUCGAAGAGAGCCCACGUACGAUUUUCUUGAAAUAGAGUUGUUUUAGGAGAAGUCCAGAAGGGAAAUCGGCUAUGGAGGAAAUGCGCAGUGAUUGUUCUUCAAGUGGAGUUCAAGAGUUGCAUGUUCUUGCUGUGGAUGAUAGUCUUGUCGAUCGCAAGGUCAUUGAGCGGUUGCUCAAGAUUUCUUGCUGUAAAGUGACUGCUGUGGAAAGUGGGAGGAGGGCUUUGCAGUAUUUGGGAUUAGAUGGAGAGAGAAGCUCUGUUGGAUUUGAUGAAUUGAAGGUGAAUCUGAUAAUGACAGACUAUUCUAUGCCUGGAAUGACAGGAUAUGAACUUCUCAAAAAGAUCAAGGGCUCCUCGAAGCUGAGGGAAAUACCGGUUGUGGUUAUGUCGUCGGAGAACGUUCUGGCUCGCAUCGAUAGGUGUCUGGAGGAAGGGGCAGAAGAGUUCCUCGUUAAGCCCGUGAAGCUCUCGGACGUGGAGAGGUUGAGAGACUUCAUAUUGAAAGGGGAGGAAAAGAGCGAAAGGGAAUUUUCGCACAAGAGGAAAAUGUCCGAUGACUCGUGCACACUAACACCAUCGUCGAUGGCCUCCUCACCGUCGUCCUCUGAUUCUGAUCUUCCGUUGUCUCCUAUGUCAAUAGUAUCGGAUGAGCCUCGGCCCAAGCGUGCAAGAUUGCUCGACGACAAUUGAUGAACCGAUGAUUGUAGUUUUGAUUCAGUUUUCCAUUUUGUCGGCCAUACAAGAUUAAAUAUCAGUAGGUACUAGCGAGGAUUGCCUCUUUUGCAUAUUUGGAGGAAGCAUCGGCAGCUUAGAAUUGUACAUGAUAUACUUGGUUGUAAUCUCACGAGACUCGCAAGUAAACAAAGGGAGACACAAGCCUGAUGAAUGAUCCGUGGAGGCGAAGAGCCCGAAAUUUUUGAUUUUUUCCUUUUUUCUUCUCCUGGUGGGAUUGUUACAGUGCAGAAAAUUCAGAAUAGCCUGCGACUACGGAUUCGAGGUUGAUUGCAAUCAUGACCCAAGAAGUGGUAUUGUACAAUUCCCGUGGCCCAAUUGGGUAAAAUUUCAUUGCACAAAUGGUCCUCCAUUUUUAGCAUGUAUUCCCAAAACACCCUAUUAUUUGAAUUAAAUUUCCAAA